This 253-nucleotide ribosomal RNA is filed under the name uncultured bacterium. RNAcentral describes it as "partial 16S ribosomal RNA". It matches the Rfam family "Bacterial small subunit ribosomal RNA", at positions 524 to 776 of the family's 1533-position model. The record is from RNAcentral.
UACGUAGGUGGCAAGCGUUAUCCGGAUUUACUGGGUGUAAAGGGAGCGUAGACGGCAGUGCAAGUCCGGAGUGAAAGCCCGGGGCUCAACCCUGGGACUGCUCUGGAAACUGUAAAGCUGGAGUGCGGGAGGGGCAGGUGGAAUUCCUGGUGUAGCGGUGAAAUGCGUAGAUAUCAGGAGGAACGCCGGCGGCGAAGGCGGCCUGCUGGACCGUAACUGACGUUGAGGCUCGAAAGCGUGGGGAGCAAACAGG